RNAcentral lists this long non-coding RNA (1376 nucleotides) under Capra hircus (goat). RNAcentral's name for it is "lncRNA (ENSCHIG00010015020.1)". The record is from RNAcentral. Lineage: Eukaryota; Metazoa; Chordata; Mammalia; Artiodactyla; Bovidae.
CAGACGGGGAGGCGCCUCCGGCGGUCUCCGCCCCUGUGGCUCAGACGGCGGCCCCGGCUCGUCUGUGGCGGGCGCGGUGAGGCGUGGCCCCCGCCGCUCCCCAGAGGGUGGCUUUGCCUGGGGCUGCGGCUCUGGGGCAGCGCGGGGCUCCCGGGGGGCCGUCCUGGGUGGCGGGGGCUUGUCUUCGUUCACUCUCCAGAGAAGAAAGCCCCCUGGACUCAGUGUCUCCCAAAUGUCGGUUAUUGAAGUCUUGCUGUAGUAUCCACACACCGCGGUGUGUUUUCUGUUUCUCUUUAAAUAUACUUCGAGCAGAAUUGCUUUUUUAAAAAAUUAACUAAGGUUUUUGGCUGCACCUUGAAGCUUGCAGGAUCUCAGUUCCCCAACCAGGAAUAGAACCCAGGUCCUAACCGUCGGACCACCAGGGAAUACCCCAGGAUUGCUUUUUUAAAAAAUAUUUUUAUUUGACUGCCCCAGGUCUCAGUUGCAGCAUGUGGGAUUUUUAGUCGUGGUAUAUGAACUCUUGGUUGCACCAUAUAGAAUCUAGGCCCCUCACCGGGCAUUCAGCCCGGGUCCCUCGCAGUAGAAGUGGUGAGUCCUAACAGCUAGACCGCGGGGGAGUUCCCCAGAAUUGCUUUUUAAUUCAGCCUCAUCCUCGACCAAGUCUGUGAAGUCCCAAGUUCAACGUGCCCGCUGCUUUCUCUCAUACAGAGAUAAGUGACUGUUGAGAUAAGUGACGGUUAUUGAAGACUGCCUGUUUGUGUGCCUCCUGUGGUCAUCUUGCAGGCCCCAGGAGCCCACUGUCCUCCGCGUGGGAAAGUCCUAGACCAGGUGGCCUAAUGACGGAUUCUGCAGAAGUGAAAGGCAAAAAGGGCCCUGGGACAGAGCCCGCACAGGAGCCCUCAGCGUCCAGCCGCUGCUGUCCGAGCAAUGCUGGAAGAGCCUCCGGGCCUCCCUGAGCCCCACGUGCCCGGCUCCGCUGCAAGCAGAGCGGAUACAUCCAGGGCUGAGUCCACGUGUCAGUGAGGAUGCUUUGGCUCCAAAAAAAAAAAAAAAAAAAAAAANNNNNNNNUUGCAGAAUAAGGAUGUACGCUGUUCUGUCCUGAGGCCAGGAAGCCGAUGGUCAGCUCAACAAGGUAACCAUCGACCCGGGUGCUCUCCGCCUUUCGCGAGGCCACCCCCAGCGCUUGGCUUGGUCCUUAAGCUUUGCCCUACGAAUUAGUGAGAAGGCUACUUUUCAAGCAUCACAAAAACAUCUAGAAGCGGGCUAUGUCCUGAUGAGUCUCUCUCUUUUAAUAGGGAGGAAUCUUUUCCAGGAGCCCCCCUGGACCGCACGCUCACACCCUGCCUACAAGGGGAGUGGCAGGAGUGGGUGAAGC